This 492-nucleotide ribosomal RNA is filed under the name uncultured bacterium. RNAcentral describes it as "partial 16S ribosomal RNA". It matches the Rfam family "Bacterial small subunit ribosomal RNA", at positions 29 to 507 of the family's 1533-position model. The record is from RNAcentral.
AGUGAACGCUGGCGGUAGGCCUAACACAUGCAAGUCGAACGGCAGCACAGUAAGAGCUUGCUCUUACGGGUGGCGAGUGGCGGACGGGUGAGGAAUACAUCGGAAUCUACUUUUUCGUGGGGGAUAACGUAGGGAAACUUACGCUAAUACCGCAUACGACCUACGGGUGAAAGCAGGGGAUCUUCGGACCUUGCGCGAUUGAAUGAGCCGAUGUCGGAUUAGCUAGUUGGCGGGGUAAAGGCCCACCAAGGCGACGAUCCGUAGCUGGUCUGAGAGGAUGAUCAGCCACACUGGAGCUGAGACACGGUCCAGACUCCUACGGGAGGCAGCAGUGGGGAAUAUUGGACAAUGGGCGAAAGCCUGAUCCAGCCAUACCGCGUGGGUGAAGAAGGCCUUCGGGUUGUAAAGCCCUUUUGUUGGGAAAGAAAAGCAGCAGGUUAAUACCCCGCUGUUCUGACGGUACCCAAAGAAUAAGCACCGGCUAACUUCGUG